CCUACGUGCGGCAGCAGUAGGGAAUUUUCGGCAAUGGGGGGAACCCUGACCGAGCAACGCCGCGUGAACGAAGAAGUUAUUCGUAAUGUAAAGUUCUUUUAACAGGGAAGAAAGAGAAAUUUGACGGUACCUGCAAAGGAAGCACCGGCUAACUCCGUGCCAGCAGCCGCGGUAAUACGGAGGGUGCGAGCGUUAAUCGGAAUUACUGGGCGUAAAGCGCUCGUAGGCGGUAUGUCAAGUCAAGGGUGAAAUCCCCGCGCUCAACGUGGGAACUGCCUUUGAAACUGGCAAACUGGAGUGUGUGAGAGGAUAGUGGAAUUCCAGGUGUAGGAGUGAAAGCCGUAGAUAUCUGGAGGAACAUCAGUGGCGAAGGCGACUAUCUGGCACAUAACUGACGCUGAGGAGCGAAAGCGUGGGUAGCAAACAGGAUUAGAUACCCUUGUAGUC
This 447-nucleotide ribosomal RNA is filed under the name uncultured bacterium. RNAcentral describes it as "partial 16S ribosomal RNA". It matches the Rfam family "Bacterial small subunit ribosomal RNA", at positions 338 to 795 of the family's 1533-position model. The record is from RNAcentral.